UACCCCAAGCGAGUUCUCUCACUCGGGGGGUCACUGGGUUAUCGUCUCCUCCAAUUUCAGACCGGAAAAAUGGUCGGAGAAGCUCCGUUCUCCGCCGCCGCAUUUUGGCUCGUUUAGGCACGUGGAGAAAGCAGCGGUGCAUUGUUCUGUGAAUCAUUUUCUUGAACUAGCCAUCACCCGCUACCAACAACGUCUUGCCAUCUGAAUGGUCGAAGAAGACCGGAGAACAGGUCCCGAAGGAAAGUAAAAAUCCUUUGCACUAUUUGCUUCUUCACAGCUCAUCUAGACUACAGGAGCCAUGAUUAGAUGUUCAUUUAUUUCAACAAUUCUACUUCCUUCAAGGAUCAUCAAAUGAAAUAAAAUCAUAGGUUGAUUAACCAUGGAUGAGUAACAUUUCUUCAUAAUGCGGAGAUGCUUUACAUAAAUUUUGCUUUAUACAUCAAAGGCUUUGAGUUAUACAUAUUGGCAUUGCAAAAAUGCAGGUACACUAAGGUAGUUAACACCAGAAACAUGUUUUUUGUUCAGGAGCAGAAACAUAAUCUAUUAAGGGUGUCUCAGCCUUUGUGCUUUGAGAGUCUAGAAGAUUCUAGAGCUCUUGUCUGAAGAUCAUGGCUCUGUUGUUCUUAAUCCUUAGGGUCUUCCCCCAAGAUGACUUCCGGCUCAAGACACUCGAAAAGCUCUGGUACGUCAGAUGUCUAUGGUAUUUGCAUCCGCAUAAAUAAUCUCCACCAUUUCAGAGCCUGAGCUCGAAGCCAAGCGCCCAAACGGACGAAUGCUCUUUUUGCCAUCGUUGUGGUGACAUGGUUGAAGAACUUGCUCCUCACUCCUUGUAAUCAGAGUGAUCUUCAUUAAAGAUUUGCCUCUCUCUUCCUUCAAGGGGAAAGUCUUACACUAUCACCUAUGGGACACUCUCAAACAAACUCCCAUCAUAUGCAGAAAAGGUUUUGUCCGACGCACCGAGCUCUCUCUACAUGUCUCCUAGUGUAAGUCAAACUGUCCGGAUGCUUAUCAGAUAGAUGAGCAGAAGGAGGAAGAAGAACUGCUUUCUCCACGGGAGAACUUCUUGUUGAGAUAAAAAAAAAAUGAUCAUGCAGCACCAAAGCUACAUCGAACAAAGACGUGAAAACGAUGCAGACAACAUGUUUGGGUUGUGGUAAUAUACAAUCUCGAUCGCCUAUACUUGGUUGUUUAGAGGCAUGCUAGAGGAGCGAGUAGUCAUUUCUCUCUUGGUAAAACCUAAACUAGAAUCAUUGAGAGACCCAUAAAACAUAAAGUUUCUAUAAGAAAGUGAUCUUUAAAAAACUCAUGAGACUGCCACUGACAUAUAUUGUUUUCACCAUCACAGAAAAUAUCAUUCUCUUUAUGUAGAGCAGUUUGUAUAUAAAGUUCAUAACCACUUCUAUUUAUCCAAGUAAAAAAACUUAUAUUGUACGUUUUCUAAAGUUGAUGUUGGUGACAUGAGCUGAAGCCUAGUAGAAGAUAAAUGAAAGUGUAUUUUCGGUUUGUAUAUGGACUGAAUGAUGUGCAUAUAACAGUUUGAAGCAAGAACUGGUCGAGUUGGGAAACUCGUGAUUGCAAACCUCGUAUAAGCUCACAGCGACGCAGUAACGUUCCUCCACUAAAGCGGCAGAGCGUUCUCGUGCUUCUUGUCUCUUUUUCUUCUUCAAAGAUUCAACGUUUAUAUACCCAAUCUUCCUGAAAUGCUACUUUGCCUUGGAGUUUUGUUGUCUCGAAUUGGAGCUUUUGUGUUGCAUAAUGGCUGCCUUUUCCUCGCGAAGGAUGACUACCAGGUUUUGGACGGGCGAAACAUCAGUGAAUGGGAACCCAUAAACCAAAUCUUCUCCCUCUAUUGAGCCUCUUAGGGUGCUGCAGUAAUGUUCAGUCCACAAGAACUGGUUUGUCGUUGUUGAUAUUUGGAUCAACAAGUUAUUGUUACCUUCAAGACUUGACUUGAGAACUUGUAGACAGAUGGUGCAACAGAUGACAAUUCAGAUGCAUUGUCUGAACCAUAUGAUGAUAAUGAAUUGAACAUCUAGGACAGGUAGACAUUUCGGUUUCGAUC
This is a long non-coding RNA of Tarenaya hassleriana, 2062 nucleotides long. RefSeq lists it as uncharacterized. Lineage: Eukaryota; Viridiplantae; Streptophyta; Magnoliopsida; Brassicales; Cleomaceae. The record is from RefSeq and is a predicted model, not a curated record. The transcript has 6 exons.